GGUCCGGCAUCAACAGGAAGCUUCCCACAAGCUCAACUCUACUACCUGCUUCCCUUCUCCCCUUGGCGUUGAUCUUUUUUUUUUUCUCUGAACCCUCUUCAGCGCCGGUACUCUACGGCGAGAAACAGCUCCAAAUGUCCAAACUGGUCCUCGGGGACUCCUUGUGUGAAUGAGUCAGGUACUAGUUGUUGAUCACAUGGUCAUCUUGCUCCUACACAGUAGGAACUUAUUGAAGACAGAGCACAAAUGUUUCCUUGAAAUCUAAUGGGGUUCUUUUUGAGUGAGAACAGGGGUCGCGUGUGUCUGCAAGUACAAGCACAUGUCUGGGAAGCGGGGAAUGGGACAUUGUGGAGUCAAGAUUCUCUCGGUUCUUGGCCUCCUACCCUCCCACUGGAGUCAACAGACUACGGCAGUCCACACCGACUGUUGGAGAGAUGGAGUAUUUUCCGGGGCAGCAUCAGCUUCAUUUCACGAGGCUAAUUGACAUGUUAAUCAUACACGAUAGCAAGGGAAUGUGUUAAAGAGCGAGAUGGCAAACGCGUCUUGUUUUCUAAGUCAAAACUUGGAUGAAAUCUGCAUUCUGCAGCAAGCCUCUUAGGCUACAAUCCACCCCACCCAGCUGUUCCUCUUAGAGCUGCGCCAGGCUCUUUCUGGAACCUGAAGCCCAGGAACUUCUCCUCCUAACAUCGCAGUCUUGCCGAGAUCCUUGCUCGUCUACGCCUCUGGUACAGCGGAUGAAGCUAAGCUCUUGAUAAAUAUUUAUGGGCAUAUUGAUCACUUGUUUCUUCAAAAUUCAGAACAACUACAAACAUAAAUCAAAUUUUUCUCUGCGGAAGAGUGGAAAGAGCGGUCUGCCUAGCUCUGGAGCAGCUCCCACCUAGAGCAGGGCUCUACUUCCCACCUACGAUGGUGGACACAGCAGUGCCACGAAGUGUCUCUGAGAAUGAGAACGUGGCUCCAGAGAAGCGGAGACUCGCAGACGGCACAGGCAAAGUUGUGAGUCAUGUGAGAUAGCAACGAAAAGAAGCAGAGAGGUGAGAGGAGACAACUCCCAGAAGCAGCAAGCACACCCAGGAAAUGAACUAGCGAGCCUUCUUUCCUUCCUCACCACUGGACCUCCAAGAAACAAGCAGUAGGCUUGUGCUCUCCUUGGGCUUUGCUUUUGUUUUGCCUUUGGUCCUCAGGAAGGACGAGCAGGGGGGAUCUGAGGAGGUUUUUGGAUUCAAGGUUUCUCUGUGUAUCUUUGGUUGUCCUGGAACUCACUCUGUGGACCAGGCUGGCCUCGAACUCACAGAGAUCUGCCUCCCUCUGCCUACUGAGUGCUGAGAUUAAAGGCGUGCACCUCCAGGCUCAGCUCAAUGAUCUCAUUUCUGAAAGAUGCUUGGUUCCGAGGUAGGAAUCCAAUUCAGCACUUUGUCCGCAUCUCCCGGGAGUGUAAACCCUCCGUGUCAUUUCAGCCUCCCUGUGCCUUGCGAAGAGAGGGGAUGAUGGAACAUUUCCAGCUAAAAACUCUCCGUGCAGUUCAGCUCCGAGCCAUUUGCCAUCUCAUUUCCCCUUCAGUCAUGCUUCCCCCGCCUCCUAGGGGUCACCGGACAACUGAAUCCUGGCCCCACUUCUCAGACUUUGCUUGGGGGUUGCUUACAGCCAUAUCUUUCUUUCACUCUUUCUCCCUUUAGCAUCUCUCAAAUUAAUGCCCCCCCUAACUUGGCCUCUCACCACACUGAGCCUUGGUUACAAUCACGUAACUCUUCUUUCUUGUCUCUCCACUCCUCCAACACACACCCUGUAGGACCUGCCGCCCCCCACCACCAAACACCUCUGAUCAUCCCUGAACUCCUUGACAGAGUAUCCCUCUACCAGAGCACCCUAGCAAGACACCCCCUAUCUGAAACCCAGUGAGUCACCCUGAAGCUCACUCCAAAGGACAUUCAAACUCCUUUGCUCAAUUCCAGGACCUGGAAUGCCCCAAUUCUCACCUUCUUAGCCUGACACUCUUGUCUUGUUCCUCACUUUUUGUUUCUCUGUCUCUACCCGUGAUGCUUUUCUCUUUAGGCUUAUGUCCCUCCUCCCUUUCAAACCUCAGCUCACAGGUGAGCUUUCCCCCAGUCCACGGACCAAUUUCUGCCAUUCUCUUAGACUUCACACUGCCCUUGCUGCUAAUAAAUACGCUUCUUUUGA
Molecule: long non-coding RNA, 2178 nt
Organism: Alexandromys fortis (reed vole)
Lineage: Eukaryota; Metazoa; Chordata; Mammalia; Rodentia; Cricetidae
Exons: 2
Source: RefSeq, a predicted model, not a curated record